UAAAUGACUCUCGGCAACGGAUAUCUCGGCUCACGCAUCGAUGAAGAACGUAGCAAAAUGCGAUACUUGGUGUGAAUUGCAGAAUCCCGUGAACCAUCGAGUUUUUGAACGCAAGUUGCGCCCGAAGCCUUCUGGCUGAGGGCACGUCUGCCUGGGCGUCACGC
This 164-nucleotide ribosomal RNA is filed under the name Holocarpha heermannii. RNAcentral describes it as "5.8S ribosomal RNA". It matches the Rfam family "5.8S ribosomal RNA". Rfam says of the family: 5.8S ribosomal RNA (5.8S rRNA) is a component of the large subunit of the eukaryotic ribosome. It is transcribed by RNA polymerase I as part of the 45S precursor that also contains 18S and 28S rRNA. The record is from RNAcentral. Lineage: Eukaryota; Viridiplantae; Streptophyta; Magnoliopsida; Asterales; Asteraceae.